Molecule: long non-coding RNA, 227 nt
Filed under: Capsicum annuum
Lineage: Eukaryota; Viridiplantae; Streptophyta; Magnoliopsida; Solanales; Solanaceae
Description: long non-coding RNA (CANN_LNC013787)
Source: RNAcentral
CCGGCUUAGGACCAAUAACAGUAUAACAAAUACAAAAAGUAAGCGGAUACAAACUAGUAUGGUACACAAAACAAACUAACAGUAUAACAAACACAAAAGAUAAGUGCAUAAUAAACUAUUAUGAGAUACAAAAAAGCUAACACCACUAACCUAAAAAACUACAGCCCUAACACUACGAACCAGAAACUCCAGACCUAAAGGAGCACUCCCCUAUUACUACCGCCGCG